GAUGAACGCUGGCGGCGUGCCUAAUACAUGCAAGUCGAGCGAACAGAUCCGGAGCUUGCUCCUUUGACGUUAGCGGCGGACGGGUGAGUCACACGUGGAUACCCUCCCUAUCAGACUGGGAUCACUUCGGGAAACCGGAGCUAAUCCCGGAUAACCUAUUGCACCGCAUGGUUCAAUAGUGAAAGUCGGCUUUGCUGUCACUUCUAGCUGGAUCCGCGCCGUAUUGGCUAGUUGGUGAGUUAACGGCUUACCAAGGCAACGAUACGUGACCGAACUGAGAGAGUGAUCGGCCACACUGGAGCGUGGACACGGUCCAUAGUCCUGCGGGAGGCAGCAGUAGGGUAUCGGACGCAACAGUCGAAAGCCUGACGGAGCAAGGCCACGUGAGUGAUAGAGGCCUUGGGAUCGUAAUAAUCGGUUAUCAGGGAAAAACAAAUGUGUAAGGAACUGUGGACAGCGUGACGGUAACGGAUCAGAAAGCCACGGCUAACUACGUG
RNAcentral lists this ribosomal RNA (497 nucleotides) under uncultured bacterium. Its description in RNAcentral is "partial 16S ribosomal RNA". It matches the Rfam family "Bacterial small subunit ribosomal RNA", at positions 28 to 507 of the family's 1533-position model. The record is from RNAcentral.